AGCAGCCGCGGUAAUUCCAGCUCCAAUAGCGUAUAUUAAAGUUGUUGCAGUUAAAAGCUCGUAGUUGAAUUUCGGGGUUAGUAGGUUGGUCAUGCCUCUGGUAUGUACUGGUCUCACUGAUUCCUCCUUCCUGAUGAACCUUAAUGCCAUUUAUUUGGUGUUUUGGGAAUUUGGACUGUUACUUUGAAAAAUUAGAGUGUUUAAAGCAAGCUAACGCUUGAAUACAUUAGCAUGGAAUAAUGAAAUAGGACGUUCGAUCCUAUUUUGUUGGUUUCUAGGAUUGACGUAAUGAUUAAUAGGGAUAGUUGGGGGUAUUAGUAUUCAAUUGUCAGAGGUGAAAUUCUUGGAUUUAUUGAAGACUAACUACUGCGAAAGCAUUUGCCAAGGAUGUUUUCAUUAAUCAAGAACGAAAGUUAGGGGAUCGAAGACGAUCAGAUACCGUCGUAGUCUUAACCAUAAACUAUGCCGACUAGGGAUCGGAUGAUGUUAAUUUUUUAAUGACUCAUUCGGCGCCUUACGG
RNAcentral lists this ribosomal RNA (520 nucleotides) under uncultured Glomus. RNAcentral's name for it is "SSU rRNA". It matches the Rfam family "Eukaryotic small subunit ribosomal RNA", at positions 569 to 1093 of the family's 1831-position model. The record is from RNAcentral. Lineage: Eukaryota; Fungi; Glomeromycota; Glomeromycetes; Glomerales; Glomeraceae.